This 259-nucleotide long non-coding RNA is filed under the name Elaeis guineensis (African oil palm). RNAcentral describes it as "long non-coding RNA (EGUI_LNC056946)". The record is from RNAcentral. Lineage: Eukaryota; Viridiplantae; Streptophyta; Magnoliopsida; Arecales; Arecaceae.
GGGGCAAAAUCAACUACUAGAAAUAAUUGGUUAAGAACCUACCCAUAGAUGUACAUGGGUGAGCCGGCCAAAGUCAAGCUCAUAUGCAAUUGUAUAGAUUCUAGUACCCGCUAAGGAAUUAGGAUAAUUUCUUGAAUUGGAGGUAGAGGUUAUCAAUUAGUUUAAAAUAGUGAGAGAAUCUUUAGACUAAAGUCCAUAUCUUUAAGCUUAAUCGAUUCAUAUACUAAUUAGGUUUUGAUUUUUCUUUUGCAGUUAUGCC